RNAcentral lists this ribosomal RNA (795 nucleotides) under Bacillus zhangzhouensis. RNAcentral's name for it is "bacterial SSU rRNA". It matches the Rfam family "Bacterial small subunit ribosomal RNA", at positions 77 to 855 of the family's 1533-position model. The record is from RNAcentral. Lineage: Bacteria; Bacillati; Bacillota; Bacilli; Caryophanales; Bacillaceae.
AGCUUGCUCCCGGAUGUUAGCGGCGGACGGGUGAGUAACACGUGGGUAACCUGCCUGUAAGACUGGGAUAACUCCGGGAAACCGGAGCUAAUACCGGAUAGUUCCUUGAACCGCAUGGUUCAAGGAUGAAAGACGGUUUCGGCUGUCACUUACAGAUGGACCCGCGGCGCAUUAGCUAGUUGGUGGGGUAAUGGCUCACCAAGGCGACGAUGCGUAGCCGACCUGAGAGGGUGAUCGGCCACACUGGGACUGAGACACGGCCCAGACUCCUACGGGAGGCAGCAGUAGGGAAUCUUCCGCAAUGGACGAAAGUCUGACGGAGCAACGCCGCGUGAGUGAUGAAGGUUUUCGGAUCGUAAAGCUCUGUUGUUAGGGAAGAACAAGUGCGAGAGUAACUGCUCGCACCUUGACGGUACCUAACCAGAAAGCCACGGCUAACUACGUGCCAGCAGCCGCGGUAAUACGUAGGUGGCAAGCGUUGUCCGGAAUUAUUGGGCGUAAAGGGCUCGCAGGCGGUUUCUUAAGUCUGAUGUGAAAGCCCCCGGCUCAACCGGGGAGGGUCAUUGGAAACUGGGAAACUUGAGUGCAGAAGAGGAGAGUGGAAUUCCACGUGUAGCGGUGAAAUGCGUAGAGAUGUGGAGGAACACCAGUGGCGAAGGCGACUCUCUGGUCUGUAACUGACGCUGAGGAGCGAAAGCGUGGGGGAGCGAACAGGAUUAGAUACCCUGGUAGUCCACGCCGUAAACGAUGAGUGCUAAGUGUUAGGGGGUUUCCGCCCCUUAGUGCUGCAGCUAA